CCUACGGGAUGCAGCAGUGAGGAAUAUUGGUCAAUGGGCGAGAGCCUGAACCAGCCAAGUCGCGUGAGGGAGUACUGCCCUAUGGGUUGUAAACCUCUUUUGUCGGGGAGCAAAAGCCGGACGUGUCCGGCUGUGAGAGUACCCGAAGAAAAAGCAUCGGCUAACUCCGUGACAGCAGCCGCGGUAAUACGGAGGAUGCGAGCGUUAUCCGGAUUUAUUGGGUUUAAAGGGUGCGCAGGCGGAUUUUUAAGUCAGCGGUAAAAUCGUGGGGCUCAACCCCAUCCAGCCGUUGAAACUGGGGAUCUAGAGUGUGCGAGAGGUAUGCGGAAUGCGUGGUGUAGCGGUGAAAUGCAUAGAUAUCACGCAGAACCCCGAUUGCGAAGGCAGCAUACCGGUGCACAACUGACGCUCAGGCACGAAAGCGUGGGUAUCGAACAGGAUUAGAUACCCUGGUAGUC
Molecule: ribosomal RNA, 458 nt
Filed under: uncultured bacterium
Lineage: Bacteria
Description: partial 16S ribosomal RNA
Rfam family: Bacterial small subunit ribosomal RNA
Source: RNAcentral